RNAcentral lists this long non-coding RNA (265 nucleotides) under Homo sapiens (human). RNAcentral's name for it is "non-protein coding lnc-APCS-3:1". The record is from RNAcentral. Lineage: Eukaryota; Metazoa; Chordata; Mammalia; Primates; Hominidae.
CAGAAAUCUCACCCUGCUCACAGAGGGGAGAAAUGGAUUAUAAAGGGGCAAGACUGGCUGGAAGACUGAUUGGGAAUCUACAGUAGGAAUACAAAGAUAGGUGUUGGUAGGCUGGGCCAGGUGGAAGCUGUGCUGAUGAAGAGAAAUUGACAGAUUUAAGAAAUCUGUGGGCGGCAAGAUGACAUUUCCUGGUGAUGGAUUCAGUGUGAGAGGAUGUGGAGAAAUAGGAACGCUUUUACACUGUUGACAGGACUGUAAAUUAGUU